Molecule: long non-coding RNA, 661 nt
Organism: Eufriesea mexicana
Lineage: Eukaryota; Metazoa; Arthropoda; Insecta; Hymenoptera; Apidae
Exons: 3
Source: RefSeq, a predicted model, not a curated record
AAAGAAUGUUAGAGGAAUUAUUGCAAACACGUGGUGAAGAGGACAUCUCUUUUGACCUUUUUGUCAGUGGCUAUGAUGUCAAUCAAGAAUAAAGCCAACGUAUCAAAGAAUCAAGCAGCAAAGGGAAUAAUUGGAACAAAAUCUUCAAAAAUUCAAGAGUCCAGAAUUAACCUAAUCUAGGUCUACUAACGCCUCCACAGAAUACUAGAUGAUCAGUGUCAUCACGUACAAUAAGCUCUAAGAAGGAUCAAAAUGCCAAAAAGAUUAUUAACAAGAAAGAAGAAUCGACACCCAGUCGACAUCGAUCAACACAAGUCGAGUCUCCAAGCAACAACAAGAGAGUAGCAAGAGGAAAGUGGCGGGCCGACGAGUAAGAGGGAAAGGAAAAUCAAUGCCAGGCAACGUGCGUUGCAAGGUGAAAUCAAAGGAGCCCGGACCAGCACCCUCCUCUUUCUCCUUCGACAGAGGAAGCCUGGUCGAUCCCACUGGUGGCGUCGUCGUUGCAAGGGAUGCCAACCCUCCUAUGUAGCCCGGUCGGAGACCAAGAGAAAACCAUAACCCGCACAACGGUCCACUUUCGAGACCUCGCUGAAUCGGAAUAUAACUAUCGAGCUCUCCCUCCUGGCCCGACCACUUCCGUGGUGACAUGAUUUCUCGCGUU